Suricata suricatta (meerkat) is the source of this 428-nucleotide long non-coding RNA. RefSeq lists it as uncharacterized. NCBI's taxonomy places the organism in Eukaryota, Metazoa, Chordata, Mammalia, Carnivora, Herpestidae. The record is from RefSeq and is a predicted model, not a curated record. The transcript has 2 exons.
CCUGGACUAGGGUUGAGACCAGUUUGGAAAGCUGCCUUUGUUUUUGUCCUUUUGAUUAGUUCGCUGCUCAGCACUGCCACUGGAGGGCAGGCGAAGGAAGGGAGAAGAAAUGAAAGCCACUCACUCGGUCAUUUAUUAUAGACCAUUCAUUCAUUUCAGAAGCCUUAUUUGGAUUGCCCAUCAUGUAUAAUGCAAUCUACUAGGGACUGGAGUAUAUGCAAAGAUGUAGAAGACAGACGUCCCCACUGAAAGUGCUCAGAGCAAGAGAAGAUAUGAUGAAAUGUGAGUUUGAAGCAGAUGGAAAAGUCACCAGGUGUUCUGAUGUACGCAUAAGAACAAGCACGUGGCUCCUCCCUUUCUUGCAGCGUCCACACAGAAUAUUGUAUUGAUGGACAAAAGGAGUAAAAUGUGUUGAUGUACUCCCUGAA